UGAAGAUACUGACCAUGAAGUAAUUUGUACAAGUUGCAAAGAAGAGAGGAGAAGAAAUCUUAUCAGGUAUGUAUUUUGAAAAUAUCAUUAUUCAUGUGCUCAUGUUAUAUAUGAUGAAAUUAGAUUGUUCAAUAGAUUUCUGCUUGCUGUCUCAACCUAUGUUUCUAUUUCUAAAUCUGUUUCUAAAGUUUGUUCUUAACCUCUCUACACUUGAAACCCAGCUCAACACAGUGAGGUUUAAUCACAAAAUAGUGAAUUGAAAACCAAAUUGUAUCGACUUCUCUGGAACAAUUCUCCAACUCUGCUAUAGGCUCAAUUCUCCAAUUUGUUUUAUUGUUUGCUACAAUUUGGUGAUGGGGAGUAGAUCUUCCUAUGUUUGUUCUACAAAAUCUGUGAAAAUGAUACAAAAGUUUUCAUUCCAGAUAAUCCAACCACAAAUUUCUCAUUAUAUCUCCUUCUAUCCAGCCAUACAGUCCAGCCACCAUUCCAUUCAAAACACUACACUCUCAUUGAUCUCAUCAUACCCUCUCCUCAAAAGGCUCUCCAGACAACAAAAUUAUACUCACAAGUGUAGAGCAGAAGGUACUUCUCUAUUGUAAUAGCGUUGGUGGAAUGAUUCCCACCUAGGAUUUCUUUGAGUUCAGGAUCCAUUAAAAAUGCCAGGAGUAAGUGUAAAAAAAAAAAGUGCAUAUAAAGUACAAUAAAAAGAGAAUUGGUACAGCUUUAAGUAACCCAAAAACUUUUAUUGCUAAAAUACAGAAAUAAAACCAUUAACGUGUUUCACCUUUCAAGGCUUCUUCAAAAUGGAAUAGCAUUUUUAACUGAUCCUGAACUCAAAGAAAUUUUAGGUGGUGACCAUUCAACCAACACUAUUACAAUAGAGCAGUUCCUUUUGCUCUACACUUGUGAGUAUAAUUUUAUAUAUUUUAUGUCUUUCUUUUACCAACUGAGAGCACUAUUGUUGUUUCUUAUAUACCUUGGAGCUUUGGUUGGUUAAAGGUCUCUUCAAUGUGAGUUUAUUACCUAACUUUUUUUUUUUAAUCCAUUUUACCCUUGGAUUUUGAUGUAUUACACUAUCGGCUGCUUGUCAUAUCCCCCUUUGUCUCUCCACAUAUACUGCUAUUUUAACCAUCCGGACAGAUCAACUCCCGAGGAUUGCACCCCUAUUUCACCCUGCUAUUUUAGUGAGACUUUUUAUUUUCCACCCCACUUACUGUUGUAUUGCCAUUUAGACCAUUUGGUCUGUUUCCUAUUGUAUAUUUAUUGCUACCAGACUUUUGGCGCAGCCCUUACCUCCUUCUUUAGCUUAAAUUCGGUUUGGUCUAAAAGAACUCCUUUAAUUUGAGCGUUGGAGCGUUACUUGCAGCAAAAGGCUCCAAAGUUAAAACCUAUAGGAGGUGAGAGAAAGGCAGCCCUGUCUUGUUCCAUUUUUUUUAUGGUGUUCCAAUCUGUGAAAAUGCCAGGACCCACUGUUUUAGCCAUUGGAUUCUGAUAAAGGGCCAUCAUUGCUGGUUUUAUUGGUCCUAUAAAACCACAUUUUUCUAAAGUUGUACUCCUAAAUUUCCAGCUGACCCUGCCAAAGGUCUUUUCAGCAUCUAAAAACAGGUCCAACUGGGGAACCUUUUUCUUAAAAGCAUAUUCGAUCAGACCAAUCCAGCAUACGUGAAUUGUUACUUGCUAAGCGACCUUGAACAAAUCCAAUCUGAUCCUGGUGCACUAAAGAUGGAAUUAUAGACUUUAUCCUAUUUGCAAUCACAGAGGAAUAUAUUUUUAUAUCAGAGUUUAUCAAUAUCAUCGGUCUGUAGUUAGCACGGUUUGUUGGAUCUUUCCCUGAUUUUAAUAUUGGUGUAAUUGUGGCCUGUCGGAGUUCUUUUGGUGGGUGACCUGAAUCUUUAAUUGCAUUGAAGGUGUUAACGAAGUGUUUAACCAAAUCAUUCUUAAAUUUCUUAUAGAACAAAUUGGUGUAACCAUCUGGUCCGGGGUCCUUGUUCGAUUUUCGAUGUUUGAUUACAUCUAUAACUUCAUUUACAGAAAAGUGUAAAUAAAAAUCCCUUAAUCGUUUGCCUGUCAAUUUUGGCAGGUCGAUCUUAUCUAAAUAUUGAACUAUAUCAUCCUCCAGGGGGCUAAGCGAGAGAUCAUAAAGACUGGCAUAAAACUUAUUAAAAACAUCCCCAAUUGCUUUUGGGUUGGUACAAGUUUGUAUAUCAACAAUAAUUUUUUCAAUUCUUGUCCUUCCUUUACGCAUUUUCAAUCUGUGAGCAUUCUAUCGGCUGGAUUACCUGCAGGAAUUUAAAGGGUCAUGUUCAGUGUUCACUUUGAGCAGUGCAUAUAGCUCGUGUUAAUCUGGAGAUUCUGAUUUGUGGCCUAGUUCACUGAGAGCAUCCUGUUUUAAACUGGGGGCAGACUCAGAACUUCGGUCUGUACCGUCAAUAGCCAUUAAAGCCCUGCACUGCAUGACGGCGAUGGCAUGUACCUUCAUGCGCUCGCUAAGGGCUUAAAAUAAGUAUUAAAGGGGUACUGUCACUUCUGAGUAUUAAUAAUUUUCUUUACUUAUUACGAUUUAACAAAUAUGUAUUUGUGAGGUGUGAACAGUCAAGUUAAAUGCAGAAAUCCACACCUCUUUAUUUUACAACUGGGUGCCUCCAUCUUUGCUCCCUGUUAAUCAGUGUUAUAAACUCUGUCCUUUGCUCCUGACAGUCCGCAUGGAGAGAGCAUAAAGAGAAGAGGAGACAUUACACAAUUUCUCUUUUCCAUAAGAAAUGUUUGUCCUAGCAUUGCCCUUUCUGAACUGCAUUAUGAUGUAAUUUGCUAAAUUUUUAUAUAAAUUUAAAAGAAAAUGGAGCAUCUCAAAAGGUAAACAAAAGUUGAUUUACAAUAUUUUAUGAAAUAGUGUAAUCUCCAGAGAUGUGACCGUUCCCCUUUAAUGAAUGAAAAGGAAAUUUAAUGCUUUGUGCUCUGCCUCAUUGUAACCGGUUGGUUUCAUGGAUUGAUCUAUGGAGGUCCAACCUACCUGCUACGUUUAUCAAAUUUUGGUAAGUCCAUAAAUUAUAAUGGAAAGUUACUACUUUUUAUCUAAAUGAACAGAUUAAUGGUGUUCAAAUUUUAAGUCUAUUUUUAGCUCUACUGUAGUUCUGUGUAAGACAGCUAUCCUAUGUGACAUUUGUUCUGCAUUUAUUUUUAGACAGGUGCAUGAUUUAGUCAAAGAACAUGGCUGUCUUGAAGUUUCUGGUCAAAAACUUUUAGGCUGGUAUAUGAUGCUUGCUGCAGAAGACAGAAAAAUUAUAAAAGGUAAUGGUUUAACAUUUAUUUUUUUUUGUUCUUGAAUCUUAGGUUAGAAAUGAAAAUAAUUCUAUGUAGUUAUGCCAUGAUUAAAAAUCUAGAGUAUUCCAGAACAUUUGGUCUUGGAGAAUUAUUUUUAAAUUGCAAGUGACUCUCCUUAUUGCCAUGAAAUGUGGCUUUGUCCUUGGUUCCUUGUUGUGCCAUAUGCAAAAAACAAAAAAACACAGUUGGUAUGGUGAAAUUAAAGCUGUUUUACUAUGCUUAUGCAAAAACUACCAAAAGCAAGCAUGUAAAACUCAAUACUGUCUGCACAGUAGUUGAAAUUUGAUACUGAGUGUUGUGACCAAUUAUAACCACCAGCAAAACAAUAAAUAGCUGUACCUUCAGUAUAAAUGAAUCCAUAAUACCCGGUGUCCCACGGAGCUUAUUAAAACCAGAAGCAACCUAAACAUGCCUGCUAUAUGCCAUUUCAUACAUGUAGGGUUGCCACAUUGGACAUUUUCUUUAUGAAUAUUGCUCUCUUUACUGAAUGGAGUCAGGGUUUGUUGUGUUUUAGGAAUAGAAAAAUAUUAUAUUAAAUGACGCAAGGUUCCUCAAUUUCCUCCUGGUUGUUAUAAUGUCCAGUUAUGAAAUACCCGAUUUAAAACAUAGCAAGAACAAAGGGCGCUUGCUAAUCUGAUGUAGUUAACUUUAACAGCAACUUUAAAGUACUGACCUCAAUAACUGGCAGUUUUGCUAUUGAAACCUAAUUUUCUCUCUUUUUUCCUCUCUACUUUACUUUCCAUUUAAAAAUGCUUACUAGAAUGAGAUCAUUCAAUACCGGUAUUAUAUGAUUUUAGGCCUUCUUGAUAACUUGGUAAUAUGAUGGUUACUCAUGCAGGCAGUUCUGAUGAUACUUAAAUUUAGAGACAUUGCUAAAUGUGUCCCUUUUUAUUUAUUUUAUUUUUAUUUUUUUUAGAAUCUGGUCACAUAACGGAGUUCAUACAGGACAUCCCUUCCUUGCAGUUAGACAACAAUUGUGUGAAACUAAAAGGUAAAUGCAGACUAAGUGAC
This 4332-nucleotide long non-coding RNA is filed under the name Pelobates cultripes (western spadefoot toad). The record is from RNAcentral. Lineage: Eukaryota; Metazoa; Chordata; Amphibia; Anura; Pelobatidae.